Long non-coding RNA from Mustela lutreola (European mink), 427 nucleotides. RefSeq lists it as uncharacterized. The transcript has 2 exons. NCBI's taxonomy places the organism in Eukaryota, Metazoa, Chordata, Mammalia, Carnivora, Mustelidae. The record is from RefSeq and is a predicted model, not a curated record.
UUGUCUCCCCAGGAGUUCCCUCAGCAGAGUAGAGCAGGGACCCUCCGCCAGACGCCCGCCGAGCACACGGUCCAGGUUUUGGAGUCCCGACAGCCUGCGUUCUCCCCAUCAGUGUCGUUAUGAUGCGCGUGCCUCUCGCCAUGCGUGAAGUUCGGGCACCGUUUGAUAAGUGUUAUUUAUCAGGUUUAAAUAUCGUUACUAUAUUUGCUUCAUGAAAAGAAUUCGAAGUUUCAGUCUCGUCUCAAAAAGCUCGCUGGAACUCCCCGUACUGAGGCCUUGCUGUGAUAUACUCGACGAUAAGGUUUUGCAGUUUUCCUGUGAAGUGUGCCUGCUGGUGAACUCACCUCCUCCUCCUCUUCCUGCCUCCUCGGCAACCUACUUGUGUGGGUUUUGGUAAACUGUAUUCCCCAAUAAAUAUUCUGUUUCA